UAUUGUACAACUAGAAAAAUGGAAAAAAAGAAAAAUGGGAGAAACAAAAAAGGCUUCGACCAUUAAAAGCAUAGAACUACCACAGAGGAAGCCGAUCUCCAGGAUGACCUCCGAAAAAAGCAGUUUGGCGCCGAGCCACCUAGCAAUAUCUUUUAGUGGAUUUCCACACACCAUUUUGCUACUUGAACGGAUAUCAAUGAUACAAAUGAUGAACGGUGAUUUGACUUCCUGCAUUGGUUUACCAAUUAACUUUUUUUGCGCUAGUAUUUGUCGUGUGUGUGCAUGUUGGUGAAUUUAUAUGACUUUGCGUUGGCUUGCGGCCAAGUUUGCUGCAGUUGACUUGGCGAAUGUCGGACUCAUGCAGGAACUUUGAUGCGCUAGUAAAAAGACAGAGAACGAAGAAGGAUAGAAAAAGAGUGGGCAAAAAGAUAAUUGUCUAUGUGUCAAAGUGAGAGCAUUGACAAUUGCUGCUAAAUUGCUUCAAAAUAUUAAUGGCUAUAUUCUAAGGCAAUGAUUAUUAUAAUCUGUCAAUAUAAUACUUGACUCUAAAUCUCUGAAGCAACAACAACUACUAAGAAAUGUAAUGC
Non-coding RNA from Bactrocera oleae (olive fruit fly), 587 nucleotides. NCBI's taxonomy places the organism in Eukaryota, Metazoa, Arthropoda, Insecta, Diptera, Tephritidae. The record is from RefSeq and is a predicted model, not a curated record.